GCUGAUCCUGCUGGCGGAUACUGCUAUCGAAGUUUGAAUUAGACAUGCAAGUCUUAUGAGCAAUCUAUGGUGUUCAUGGCAAACGGCUCAGUAACACGUAGAUAACCUAACCUCAGGAGGAGGCAAACCCGGGAAACUGGGCUUAAUUCUCCAUAGGAAAUUGAUACUGGAAGGUUCUUUUUCUUAAAGGAUUUAAUCCAUGAUUUAAAUCCGCCUGAGGAUGAGUCUGCGGUGGAUUAGGUUGUUGGCGGGGUAAUUGCCCACCAAGCCUAAGAUCUGUACGGGCCUUGAAAGAGGUGGCCCGGAGAAGGACACUGAGAUAAGGGUCCUAGCCCUACGGGGUGCAGCAGUCGCGAAACCUCUACAAUGCACGCAAGUGUGAUAGGGGGACUUCGAGUGCGCUCUUUGAGUGCUUUUGCCAAGCCUAAAAAGCUUGGCGAAUAAGUGGGGGGUAAUAUACGUGCCAGCCGCCGCGGUAAUACGUAACCCACGAGUGGUAUCCACUAAUAUUGGGCCUAAAACGUCUGUAGCCUGUUUUGUAAGUCUUCUGUGAAAUCAGCAAGCUCAACUUGUUGAAUUGCAAAAGAUACUGCACGACUCGAGGCCGGAAGAGGUAAAGGGAAUUUCAGGGGUAACGGUGAAAUGUUAUGAUCCCUGAAAGACCACCAGUAGCGAAGGCGCUUUACCAGGACGGUCCUGACGGUGAGAGACGAAAGCUGGGGGAGCGACCAGGAUUAGAUACCCUGUUAGUCCCAGCCGUAAACGAUGUGAACUAGGUGUCCUAAUACCUAAGAGGUAUGGGGGUGCCGAAGCGAAGGCGUUAAGUUCACUGCCUGGGGAGUAUAAUCGCAAGGUUGAAACUUAAUGGAAUUGGCGGGGGCGCACUACAAGGGGUGGAUGCUGCGGUUCAAUUGGAUUCAACGCCAGAUAUCUUACCAGAAACGACAGCAGAAUGAUGGUCAGCCUGAAGGGCUUACCUGACGCGCUGAGAGGUGUUGUACGGUCAUCGUCAGCUCGUACUAUGAAGCGUCCUGUUAACUCAGGCAACGGGCGAGACCCAUAUUCUUAGUUGCUAUUACUCAAUUUGGUAAGCACUCUAGGAAAACUGCAUGUGUAAACAUGAGGAAGGAAUGGGCAACGGUAGAUCUGUAUGGCCCGAAUUUUCUGGGCAACACGCGGCAUACAAUGGUUAAUACAAUGGGCUCCGACUCCGAAAGGAGAAGGUAAUCUCCUAACAUUAAUCUUAGUUCGGAUUGAGGGUUGUAACUCACCCUCAUGAAGCUGGAAUCCCCAGUAAUCGUGUGUCACUAUCACACGGUGAAUAAGUCCCUGCGCCUUGCACACACCGCCCAUCAAGCCAGCUGAAUGGAGUUUAGAUGAAUUGCACUCAUUCGAGAGUAAUUAUUCUGGGCUCUGUAAGGCGGGCUAAGUUGUAACAAGGUG
RNAcentral lists this ribosomal RNA (1443 nucleotides) under metagenome. RNAcentral's name for it is "bacterial SSU rRNA". It matches the Rfam family "Archaeal small subunit ribosomal RNA". The record is from RNAcentral.